RNAcentral lists this ribosomal RNA (36 nucleotides) under Colletotrichum sp. Co-19-Leg. RNAcentral's name for it is "partial 18S ribosomal RNA". Lineage: Eukaryota; Fungi; Ascomycota; Sordariomycetes; Glomerellales; Glomerellaceae. The record is from RNAcentral.
ACCUCGCUAGUCAUGGGGUCUGCGGAGGGAUCAUUA